GACGAACGCUGGCGGCAUGCCUAAUACAUGCAAGUCGAACGCUGAAGCACUCUGCUUGCAGAGUGCGGAUGAGUGGCGAACGGGUGAGUAACACGUGGGAAAUCUGCCUAUAAGAGGGGGAUAACAUUCGGAAACGGAUGCUAAUACCGCAUAUAUUCUUGGACCGCCUGGUCCUUGAAAGAAAGACGGCUUUGCUGUCGCUUAUAGAUGAUCCCGCGGCGUAUUAGUUAGUUGGUGGGGUAAAGGCCUACCAAGACAAUGAUACGUAGCCGACCUGAGAGGGUGAUCGGCCACACUGGGACUGAGACACGGCCCAGACUCCUACGGGAGGCAGCAGUAGGGAAUCUUCCACGAUGGGCGAAAGCCUGAUGGAGCAAUGCCGCGUGAAUGAAGAAGGUCUUCGGAUCGUAAAGUUCUGUUAUUAGGGAAGAACAAGUCAAGGAGUAACUGUCUUGACUUUGACGGUACCUAACCAGAAAGUCACGGCUAACUACGUG
Molecule: ribosomal RNA, 497 nt
Filed under: uncultured bacterium
Lineage: Bacteria
Description: partial 16S ribosomal RNA
Rfam family: Bacterial small subunit ribosomal RNA
Source: RNAcentral